RNAcentral lists this ribosomal RNA (429 nucleotides) under Bacteroidota bacterium. Its description in RNAcentral is "Bacteroidetes bacterium partial 16S ribosomal RNA". It matches the Rfam family "Bacterial small subunit ribosomal RNA", at positions 355 to 776 of the family's 1533-position model. The record is from RNAcentral. Lineage: Bacteria; Pseudomonadati; Bacteroidota.
UAGGGAAUCUUCGGCAAUGGGGGGAACCCUGACCGAGCAACGCCGCGUGAGUGAAGAAGGUUUUCGGAUUGUAAAGCUCUGUUGUUAAGGAAGAACGAGUGUGAGAAUGGAAAGUUCAUGCUGUGACGGUACUUAACCAGAAAGGGACGGCUAACUACGUGCCAGCAGCCGCGGUAAUACGUAGGUCCCGAGCGUUGUCCGGAUUUAUUGGGCGUAAAGCGAGCGCAGGCGGUUAGAAAAGUCUGAAGUGAAAGGCAGUGGCUCAACCAUUGUAGGCUUUGGGAACUGUUUAACUUGAGUGCAGAAGGGGAGAGUGGAAUUCCAUGUGUAGCGGUGAAAUGCGUAGAUAUAUGGAGGAACACCGGUGGCGAAAGCGGCUCUCUGGUCUGUAACUGACGCUGAGGCUCGAAAGCGUGGGGAGCGAACAGG